GACGAACGCUGGCGGCGUGCCUAAUACAUGCAAGUAGGACGCAGUUGCGAAUGGGUGAGUAACGCGUAGGUAACUACCUAUUAGAGGGGGAGGACUAUUGGAAACGAUAGCUAAUACCGCAUACUAGUAGAUGGACGUGCGUUGUAUUAGCUUGUAGGUAGGGUAAUGGCCUACCUAGGCAACGAUACAUAGCCGACCUGGAGGGGUGAUCCGCCACACUGGGACUGAGACACCGCCCAGACGCCGACGGGAGGCAGCAGUAGGGAAUCUUUGGCAAUGGGGGGAACCCUGACCGAGCAACGCCGCGGGAGUGAAGAAGGUUUGCGGAUCGUAAAGCUCUGUUGUUAAGGAAGCGGCACUUAACCAGAAAGGGACGGCUAACUACGUGCCAGCAGCCGCGGUAAUUC
Molecule: ribosomal RNA, 407 nt
Filed under: uncultured bacterium
Lineage: Bacteria
Description: partial 16S ribosomal RNA
Rfam family: Bacterial small subunit ribosomal RNA
Source: RNAcentral